AUUGAACGCUGGCGGAAUGCUUUACACAUGCAAGUCGAACGGCAGCACGGGGGCAACCCUGGUGGCGAGUGGCGAACGGGUGAGUAAUACAUCGGAACGUGCCCGGUCGUGGGGGAUAACGUAGCGAAAGUUACGCUAAUACCGCAUACGAUCUGAGGAUGAAAUCGGGGGACCUUCGGGCCUCGCGCGAUCGGAGCGGCCGAUGUCAGAUUAGGUAGUUGGUGGGGUAAAGGCCUACAAAGCCUACGAUCUGUAGCUGGUCUGAGAGGAACACCAGCCACACUGGCACUGAGGCACGGCCCAGACUCCUACGGGAGGCAGCAGUGGGGAAUUUUGGACAAUGGGCGCAAGCCUGAUCCAGCCAUUCCGCGUGCAGGACGAAGGCCUUCGGGUUGUAAACUGCUUUUGUAUGGAACGAAAAGGCUCUGGCUAAUACCUGGGGCUCAUGACGGUACCGUAAGAAUAAGCACCGGCUAACUACGUG
This 484-nucleotide ribosomal RNA is filed under the name uncultured bacterium. RNAcentral describes it as "partial 16S ribosomal RNA". It matches the Rfam family "Bacterial small subunit ribosomal RNA", at positions 30 to 507 of the family's 1533-position model. The record is from RNAcentral.